CCCUUCGGGGCGAAGAUAAGACGGAUUAGCGGCGGACGGGUGAGUAACACGUGAGUAACCUGCCUUUUACACAGGGAUAGCCUCGGGAAACCGGGAUUAAAACCUGAUGAAACUAUCAAAUCACAUGAUUAAGAAAGUUAAAACUCCGGUGGUAAAAGAUGGACUCGCGUCCCAUUAGCUAGUUGGUGAAGGUAACGGCCCACCAAGGCAACGAUGGGUAGCCGGCCUGAGAGGGUGAACGGCCACAUUGGAACUGAGAAACGGUCCAAACUCCUACGGGAGGCAGCAGGC
This 291-nucleotide ribosomal RNA is filed under the name uncultured Peptoniphilus sp. RNAcentral describes it as "partial 16S ribosomal RNA". It matches the Rfam family "Bacterial small subunit ribosomal RNA", at positions 76 to 354 of the family's 1533-position model. Lineage: Bacteria; Bacillati; Bacillota; Tissierellia; Tissierellales; Peptoniphilaceae. The record is from RNAcentral.